RNAcentral lists this long non-coding RNA (271 nucleotides) under Elaeis guineensis (African oil palm). Its description in RNAcentral is "long non-coding RNA (EGUI_LNC039801)". Lineage: Eukaryota; Viridiplantae; Streptophyta; Magnoliopsida; Arecales; Arecaceae. The record is from RNAcentral.
CGUCGGUUCAUCUCUUGGAACCUUUGAUCUUGGAGAUCCUCUCAAUCGCGAAUCUCGAGGGUCUUCUAGCAGAACAGAGGUAGGGACCUUCUGGAGGUGGAAUCAUGAUCAGAUAGAGGGCUCUUCGCCCUCUGCUUCCCCUUUUCGAUUGAUACAGGGCGACUGGCCCAAGUGGGCCAUCCGAUCGUCGAAUUCUGAAACUCCGAUGAUGAUCUUUCCAGCUGCCCAGAUGCUUGCGGCUGCUGCUGCUGCUGCUGCAUGGCUUGCACCA